Bos indicus x Bos taurus (hybrid cattle) is the source of this 1887-nucleotide long non-coding RNA. NCBI's taxonomy places the organism in Eukaryota, Metazoa, Chordata, Mammalia, Artiodactyla, Bovidae. The record is from Ensembl.
UCCCUGGCGCUCGCCUCCCUCCCACCCGGUGCGCGGCGCUCUGGGGCCGGGCGCGGAGGCCGCCGCGGCUCUCCCAGCCGAGCCCGCGCGCCCCUUCUCCCCCGGGCGGGGGUGGGGGCGAGGUGGGGGGGGAGGCGCGGCCCCAGACCCUGCCGGCUCCUUUUGCUGUCCUCCAGCUGUCCCCUCGGCCCCUGGCCGCUUCCCCAUCGGGCAGCGAAACGUACACAAAGAACACGGGAUUCGGGUUAUUUACGAAAUCGUGGUUUUUAAACUGCCGGCUGUGUGACCCGGAGCAAACUGCUCGGCCUCUCGGUGUCAGGGUCCUCGCCCGUAAAGAGACUGGGAAAGAUAAGGGCGAUAAGGCUUUUCGAACACGGGGCCCUGCGCCUGGCACGGCGCGGGCGCGCGGCUCCGUGCGCCCCCCAACCCGCCCGGCGUGCAGCCCGGCCCCGCUCCCGCCCCCCGCCUCGGCCCGACCUGCAGCCGAGAGUCGGGGAAGGCGGGGCGCCCCGGAGCCGCCGACGGCCUCGCGCUCCGAUUUCCUCACCGUACGAAAUGAAAUUCCACAGGGGGAUUCGAGAGGAAAUGAGACCGGGACGCUCCGUGCUUCUCGGCCCGCCGCCCUUCCUGUCUCGGGGACACGGUUUCUAAAUAAGAGUCCUGCCAUCUCUGCCUCGGCCUGCUUGAUGCGACUGUCUCCUUUGAGAGCCCUUGAAAAAGCCGCUUGCCCGUCAGAAGCUUUUCCUGUCAACAGCUUUUCUUUCCCAGCAUGGAACUCAUCGCAGAAAACGCUUCCCCAAGGGAGUUCCAGGCAGAAGGCUAUCCACCCUGUGACAUGUACUGUUCAAGAGAGGUGCUUGCUCAGUCUCUCAGUCACUCUGUCGUAGCCAACUCUUUAUGACCUCAUGGACGAUGGCCCACCAGGCUCCACUGUUCGUGGGAUUUUUCAAGCAAGAAAAUUGGAGUGGGUUGCCAUUUCCUCCUCCAGGGUCUCUUACUGGACCAGGGAUUGAACCUGCGUCUUCUCCAUUGGUAGGCGGAUUCUGUACCACUGAGCCACCUGGGAGAUGGAAGAGUGGAGUCAAAGAUAGUGUCUUGAGAAUAGACCUGUUAACCUAAAGGAUGGGCCACGGGUCCCUAGUGGCUCUGGCCCGAGUGCCUGGGCAGCUUCCUCCAUCCACUCCCUGCGUAACAAAGAUGCAGCUACUUUGGAGCAGCAACAAACAUGACUUCAGCAGGCUGUUGGGCAGUCGGAGGGCUCUCUAUUUGCAUCUAAUGAGAGGCUGGGUUCUAAUUAACUCCUGUGAUGUGUUAAUUUUUCAACCUGACAUUUUCUGCUCUAAUAGAUUCUUGUAAUGGUUCCUAAAUUAAAGGCUGCAUUUGCAGACUAACGUUUAGGUUAAAAUCCACCACCUAGGGGGUGGGGGAGGUGGCCCAUAAACAUCCUUUCCCUCCUAAGGGAAACCUCUCAUUUGCAGUUCUUUGCUAACCCAAUUAAGUGCUGAAGUAGUCACCCUAGAGCCUGCUUUUUAUUUCCUGCGAAACAAUCCAACUAAUCCAUAUUCAGUGGCUUCCAAGAAAAGUCUUAUUCCAACCACUCAUGAAGAAACCAGCUUCUUUGAAUCUGGACAGAACAUUUAAAACUCACAAAGAGCUGUCUUGAUAGAAAAUGUAAGAAAGUGGUUCAUUAUUAUCCUGUUUGGUUUUUGAGGGAGAAAUUCACUGUGACUAAAACCUCAUAAGGAUUGGGAAUUUACUGUGGGACCACAGAGCAGGGGGGCAAGCCUUGCCCCAUCCCUCCGUGUAUAGUCUGAAUGCUGCAUCUUCCCUUGCACCCAAGAACAUGCAGACUGAGUAAACCAGAAGGAAAGAUUCAUCUAGCUCAAA